AGGAACACUGCUAUCUUCACCUAGCAAUAACUCAAAACCAUAACUUUUGGCUCAACGGACUUUGAAAUCUAAAUGCUAAAAUCUCCACAUAUCCCUUUAUUGGCUGGUGACUUCCAUCAGAGACGUUGCCUGUGGCUAACUAUCUAUUAGUUUCUGCAAUUUUUUUUCCAAAGCCUUAUUGAAAGCAUCUUCUGACAGUGACAACAUCUG
RNAcentral lists this unclassified non-coding RNA (210 nucleotides) under Hevea brasiliensis (rubber tree). Lineage: Eukaryota; Viridiplantae; Streptophyta; Magnoliopsida; Malpighiales; Euphorbiaceae. The record is from RNAcentral.